GUAGUCAUAUGCUUGUCUCAAAGAUUAAGCCAUGCAUGUCUAAGUAUAAGCAAUUUAUACGGUGAAACUGCGAAUGGCUCAUUAAAUCAGUUAUCGUUUAUUUGAUAGUACCUUACUACAUGGAUACCUGUGGUAAUUCUAGAGCUAAUACAUGCUGAAAACCUCGACUUCGGAAGGGGUGUAUUUAUUAGAUAAAAAACCAAUGCCCUUCGGGGCUCCUUGGUGAAUCAUAAUAACUUAACGAAUCGCAUGGCCUUGCGCCGGCGAUGGUUCAUUCAAAUUUCUGCCCUAUCAACUUUCGAUGGUAGGAUAGUGGCCUACCAUGGUGGCAACGGGUAACGGGGAAU
RNAcentral lists this ribosomal RNA (347 nucleotides) under uncultured fungus. Its description in RNAcentral is "SSU rRNA". It matches the Rfam family "Eukaryotic small subunit ribosomal RNA", at positions 20 to 370 of the family's 1831-position model. Lineage: Eukaryota; Fungi. The record is from RNAcentral.